Molecule: transfer RNA, 73 nt
Filed under: Camelus bactrianus (Bactrian camel)
Lineage: Eukaryota; Metazoa; Chordata; Mammalia; Artiodactyla; Camelidae
Also listed under: 1 other name
Rfam family: tRNA
About the family: Transfer RNA (tRNA) molecules are approximately 80 nucleotides in length. Their secondary structure includes four short double-helical elements and three loops (D, anti-codon, and T loops). Further hydrogen bonds mediate the characteristic L-shaped molecular structure. tRNAs have two regions of fundamental functional importance: the anti-codon, which is responsible for specific mRNA codon recognition, and the 3' end, to which the tRNAs corresponding amino acid is attached (by aminoacyl-tRNA synthetases). tRNAs cope with the degeneracy of the genetic code in two manners: having more than one tRNA (with a specific anti-codon) for a particular amino acid; and 'wobble' base-pairing, i.e. permitting non-standard base-pairing at the 3rd anti-codon position.
Source: Rfam by way of RNAcentral
GAGGGUAUAGCCCAAGUGGUAGAGCACAUGCUUAGCAUGCAUGAGGUUCUGGUUUAAAUCCUCAGUACUUCCA